GGUGGCUCAGUGGUAGAGCAUUUGCCUUGCAUGCAUGAGGCCCUGGGUUCGAUUCCCUAGCACCA
RNAcentral lists this transfer RNA (65 nucleotides) under Dipodomys ordii (Ord's kangaroo rat). It matches the Rfam family "tRNA". Rfam says of the family: Transfer RNA (tRNA) molecules are approximately 80 nucleotides in length. Their secondary structure includes four short double-helical elements and three loops (D, anti-codon, and T loops). Lineage: Eukaryota; Metazoa; Chordata; Mammalia; Rodentia; Heteromyidae. The record is from Rfam by way of RNAcentral.